RNAcentral lists this transfer RNA (69 nucleotides) under Zootoca vivipara (common lizard). Its description in RNAcentral is "tRNA-His". It matches the Rfam family "tRNA". Rfam says of the family: Transfer RNA (tRNA) molecules are approximately 80 nucleotides in length. Their secondary structure includes four short double-helical elements and three loops (D, anti-codon, and T loops). Further hydrogen bonds mediate the characteristic L-shaped molecular structure. tRNAs have two regions of fundamental functional importance: the anti-codon, which is responsible for specific mRNA codon recognition, and the 3' end, to which the tRNAs corresponding amino acid is attached (by aminoacyl-tRNA synthetases). tRNAs cope with the degeneracy of the genetic code in two manners: having more than one tRNA (with a specific anti-codon) for a particular amino acid; and 'wobble' base-pairing, i.e. permitting non-standard base-pairing at the 3rd anti-codon position. Lineage: Eukaryota; Metazoa; Chordata; Lepidosauria; Squamata; Lacertidae. The record is from RNAcentral.
GUAAACAUAGUUUAUAAAAACAUUAGAUUGUGAUUCUAAAGACAGAAGUCACCCAACUUCUUGUUUACC